UCAAAUCCUCCUCCAUUAGCACUCAGCCGAUUGAAGCUUUCUAUCAAAUACACACACUUUUCUCUCUCUACAAAAUACUUUACACUCACUGAUGUAUAAAGUUCUGCUAUUUCUGAGGUCUCUUCCUUCCAAAUCUAUAUUUUUUUAAAAAUUAUAUUUAAUAUUUAAUUCAUUUUUUUUAAAUAGAAAAAUAAAGGCAGUGAUGUCAUAAUUAUUGCCAUCAAACUUUGAAAGCAUUAUUAAUGGGGCUUGUUGAUGCAAACAAAACAUAAUUCCUGAGCCUUUUUUUUUUAUUUAAUUUAAUUUGAAAUUAUUGUGAAAAAGUAAGAUCUGGAAUAAAAAGGCAACAAAUUAGAGUCACUGAUGCGCCAAAAAGUAAUAAUGGUGUAAAUAGCGCUGUACGUUGCCGAGAUUGAAUUGGUGCUGAUAUUCUGGCAUUGGCUUCUCUCUUGUUUUGCCUGUGCAUUCAUAUGCUCCCACAUUCAUUUUUUUUUUUUAAUUUAUUAAUUUAAUUUCGAAUUUUUAUAAAUUUAAUUAUGUAAAUUAAGCUACGUAGGGUUUAUUAUUGGCGGCUCUGGAUAUUUCUGUAAUUUGCGGUGAUUCACAAAAAGUAUUGAGGCGAGCUGAAUUUGUGUUCGUAUGACUCAAUUGUGAAGAAAUCGUCGCUAGAAAAAGCCUCUGUAUUUGUUCUUCGUCGAGAUUUUGAAUUUCCGAAGGUAAUUAUUUGGAGGCGUCCUCAUAUCCUAUCGCCUUGGGUAGCCGGUUGCGGCUAUGAUCUCUUGGGAUUGGCCAUGAGAAAGACAUUUUCUCUCUCUAGAAUUCAUUUUUUUUUUAUGAUUUGAUUUUUAUGAAUUGAUUUGUUUGAUGAAUUUUAGCCUGUGAUGAGAAACACAUAUAAAACACACCAUCUUUCGGGACUUAAUGGCCUUCGUAAGAAGUCCUUGCUGAUUUUAUUCUGCAAUUCUGAGGCUUAUUUAAUAUAUAUAUUUUUGAUUGUGGUUAUUAUAUAUUUUUCCCUCUCAUCGACACUAUUUUCUUGGUUUAAAGGAUUUUUCUCACUACAAAUUUCAAACGGAUUUUCUUUGUUGCAACCAUUCUCAAUAUCGUUUGAAAUAUUUUCAAGAGACCUUUGGCGCUGAAUUCUUCCAACUGUAACUCCAGUCUUCGGAUAGAUGCUUGAGUGGAUUUCAUAAAUUCUUCAAGGACGGAGUUCAAAUAACACUGCUGAACAGUGGGUCCUCGUGGCGUGUUGGUGUAUGUGUUCCAAUAACUGCCGUUGGUGUUAUCUAUGAAAUUAUUCGCUUUUGGUGCAUACCAACAUUGGUUGGUGUAAUGAUCUCCACCACAGAUUGAACAAAGUGACGGCAUAUUAUAGCUAUUUUGGAGGUAUUCGCCAGACAAAAGCCAUUCAUAUCCCGUUUGAGGUGCGCGAAAAUUGUAACCUGACAUGUAACUAAAGAAAAAAAUUAAAACGUAAAGAUAAAAGAAAAAAUUAAUUUGGGUGAAUCGUGAAAAUUGUUCAAAUUUAGAGCUAGAAUAAAAUAAAUAAUUAAAAUAUUCCCUGGCAACGGCGUCAAAAACUUGGUGUAAUACCUACACGCAAGUGCACGUAUCGUACAAAUAAUAUAGUGGACUAAAAGUCCGGAUAUCGAACCCACAGAGAAUAUUUAAUUAUCUAAUCCUAAACGCUAAAUUCUACCAAUUGUUAUCAAGCCCACCAUACACAGUCGAAUUUAGAAGAAUUAACUAGAUUAAAUUAAAUUAAAAAGCAAAUUAAAACGACAAAGCAAGAAAGCAAAUUAAACACGAAGGUUUAUCAGAGUAAACAAGCCUAUGAUUUUAUUCUUCCCCCUAUGUGAUUAUUAUUUCCCCAAUUCUUUCAAUUAUGCAAUCAAUUAACCCGGAUUAUUAACCUGAGAUGCUAAAAUAAUCAUAACCCGUUUCCGCGUGUAUUACGAUUCUAAUACUCUAGAUUCAAUUACUAUAUUCCUAUGCAAUUAAUUCUCGAACACAACAUUAAGCACAAAUCUCAAUAAUGGCUACCUAAGAGAUUAACUAUAUUCCUAUGUUAAUACCACAAAGGCUCUUCUACCACAGUUCUAAUUAUUAACCCGAUCUUCCGAUUCAUGCGAUUAACAAUAACAUAAACUGAAAUGAUUUGUGCAGGCCAAAAUUAAACAUUCAGGCACAUUUUUUACCAUUUUUCAAAAAACAAAAAGUAAAAAAA
This 2227-nucleotide long non-coding RNA is filed under the name Erythranthe guttata (spotted monkey flower). Its description in RNAcentral is "long non-coding RNA (EGUT_LNC002665)". The stretch from base 873 to 972 matches the Rfam family "Small nucleolar RNA SNORD96 family". Lineage: Eukaryota; Viridiplantae; Streptophyta; Magnoliopsida; Lamiales; Phrymaceae. The record is from RNAcentral.